AAUCAAUGACAACAUCAAGUCUCCUUAUAUUUAUAUUUUUUCCCAAAGUAUACCGUUGAAAAUUUGGAUACUAAUUCUUCUAUCAAUAUGGUGAGCAUGAAGAAGUGAUGAUGGUCGAAAGAACAGGAAGGAAAGGGGCAAAAAGACCAUGAUUCCAGCAUCUGGUUGUGGAGAAGCAAAUGGUGCUUAAGCCUGGAGUUGUUGGCACUUAAGCGCCACAAGCAAGAGGUUGACAAAGAGGAAAAGCAUCUAGCACUGAAGCGUCAGUUCCCUGCACUUAAGCGCCAAUCAGGAAGUAACAAGUUUGAUUUUCAUGGCACUUAACGCCUAUCUGUGUGUCAAGACUUAAUCUAUCACAUGUUGUACCUUGUUUAAGGGAUUUUCGUAUUACUGCUUUGCACUUUUUCGUUCUGCACAAUUGCAAAAACCCUUUUUGUUUUGUAAUAACUGUGAUAGUGACCUAUAAAGCUCUUUCAUGGCUUUUUCUCUUCAAUUCUUCAUUUCUCCAUGGAAUUUCUGCAACUUAAUGGCUAGGAGUAGCUAAAUCUAGAGUUAUUGGGGUUGGAUCUAGUGAGACUCAUGUAUUGCUUGUAAAUCCUAACUCUAUCCUCAUUUAAUAUUUUGCUUUUUUACUUUCAUGCUUAAA
Long non-coding RNA from Glycine soja, 646 nucleotides. RefSeq lists it as uncharacterized. The transcript is spliced from 2 exons. The record is from RefSeq and is a predicted model, not a curated record. NCBI's taxonomy places the organism in Eukaryota, Viridiplantae, Streptophyta, Magnoliopsida, Fabales, Fabaceae.